Molecule: long non-coding RNA, 201 nt
Filed under: Oryza brachyantha (malo sina)
Lineage: Eukaryota; Viridiplantae; Streptophyta; Magnoliopsida; Poales; Poaceae
Description: long non-coding RNA (OBRA_LNC002604)
Source: RNAcentral
ACCUAUAGAACUUCUUAUGAACUUCUGAGAGGAACAGACUGCUUUCUGCUGCCGGUAUGCUCUCACAAAACCAAAAUAAAUCCCUCAAUUAAUUACUGCAUAAGAUAGUGCAGAAAUAAUAACCGGAAGGAAAAUGUAAACUCUGCCAACCAUUGGGUUACCUUGAAGCGCUGAAUCCACCUAAAGAAACCGGAGCAACAA